AUGAACGCUGGCGGCGUGCCUAAUCCCUGCAAGUCGAACGCAUAGCGAAAGGUGCUUGCACCUUUCAAGUGAGUGGCGAACGGGUGAGUAACACGUGGACAACCUGCCUCAAGGCUGGGGAUAACAUUUGGAAACAGAUGCUAAUACCGAAUAAAACUUAGUGUCGCAUGACACAAAGUUAAAAGGCGCUUCGGCGUCACCUAGAGAUGGAUCCGCGGUGCAUUAGUUAGUUGGUGGGGUAAAGGCCCACCAAGACAAUGAUGCAUAGCCGAGUUGAGAGACUGAUCGGCCACAUUGGGACUGAGACACGGCCCAAACUCCUACGGGAGGCUGCAGUAGGGAAUCUUCCACAAUGGGCGAAAGCCUGAUGGAGCAACGCCGCGUGUGUGAUGAAGGCUUUCGGGUCGUAAAGCACUGUUGUAUGGGAAGAACAGCUAGAAUAGGAAAUGAUUUUAGUUUGACGGUACCAUACCAGAAAGGGACGGCUAAAUACGUG
This 496-nucleotide ribosomal RNA is filed under the name uncultured bacterium. RNAcentral's name for it is "partial 16S ribosomal RNA". It matches the Rfam family "Bacterial small subunit ribosomal RNA", at positions 29 to 507 of the family's 1533-position model. The record is from RNAcentral.